GGUAGAGAUCUGAAGGCUUAC
This 21-nucleotide microRNA is filed under the name Parasteatoda tepidariorum (common house spider). Its description in RNAcentral is "pte-miR-14-5p". Its record names the gene pte-miR-14-5p. Lineage: Eukaryota; Metazoa; Arthropoda; Arachnida; Araneae; Theridiidae. The record is from miRBase by way of RNAcentral.